This 497-nucleotide ribosomal RNA is filed under the name uncultured bacterium. Its description in RNAcentral is "partial 16S ribosomal RNA". It matches the Rfam family "Bacterial small subunit ribosomal RNA", at positions 28 to 507 of the family's 1533-position model. The record is from RNAcentral.
GACGAACGCUGGCGGCGUGCCUAAUACAUGCAAGUUGAGCGCUGAAGGUUGGUACUUGUACCAACUGGAUGAGCAGCGAACGGGUGAGUAACGCGUGGGGAGUCUGCCUUUGAGCGGGGGACAACAUUUGGAAACGAAUGCUAAUACCGCAUAAAAACUUUAAACACAAGUUUUAAGUUUGAAAGAUGCAAUUGCAUCACUCAAAGAUGAUCCCGCGUUGUAUUAGCUAGUUGGUGAGGUAAAGGCUCACCAAGGCGAUGAUACAUAGCCGACCUGAGAGGGUGAUCGGCCACAUUGGGACUGAGACACGGCCCAAACUCCUACGGGAGGCAGCAGUAGGGAAUCUUCGGCAAUAGACGAAAGUCUGACCGAGCAACGCCGCGUGAGUGAAGAAGGUUUUCGGAUCGUAAAACUCUGUUGGUAGAGAAGAACGUUGGUGAGAGUGGAAAGCUCAUCAAGUGACGGUAACUACCCAGAAAGGGACGGCUAACUACGUG